CAUGGUGCCAAGACUGUCAUAAACGGCUCCUGAGGUCUGAAAAAACGACAGCAGGAUUCAGCGUUCCUCUGACAACCACUCAGAAAAUAGAAUGUGAAGAAGAAGGAGGAAGGGAAGAUGCGGGGCCAGCCAUCAGAAUGCUCCCUGUGGCUCCAUGGAUGCCUAGAAAUGCUGGUCACUUAAAGGGCACAGGUUACAGAAUGUCAGAUGACUGAAGUAAAAGAGGAAGUAACAUUGCUCAGAGAUGGAGAUUUGUGGCUUCUCUCUUUGGAAAGAUGAGAAAGGGACUAGAAAAUCCUCCGGAUGGGCCUUCAAAGGUCACUGAGCAGGACUCCCAAAGGCCACCACUGCUGUCCAGCACCCCUCUCAAUGCAGCUACUCCCAGUGGGUUGUGGAACCACUCUCUCCUGUGUCUUCAAGUAUAGAGGUGGAAACAGCUGUCUGCUGUUGCUUGCACCAAGGAGAAAAGACAUAGUUAGAACAUCAAAGAUGUUGGAAUUAGGAAGACAUUGA
Molecule: long non-coding RNA, 513 nt
Filed under: Macaca mulatta (Rhesus monkey)
Lineage: Eukaryota; Metazoa; Chordata; Mammalia; Primates; Cercopithecidae
Description: lncRNA (ENSMMUG00000045760.2)
Source: RNAcentral